RNAcentral lists this long non-coding RNA (768 nucleotides) under Helianthus annuus (common sunflower). RNAcentral's name for it is "sRNA HanXRQr2_Chr17g0817671". Lineage: Eukaryota; Viridiplantae; Streptophyta; Magnoliopsida; Asterales; Asteraceae. The record is from RNAcentral.
CUUCACAUGGAUCACCAUCCUACGGUCCAUUGCUCACCUAAUUUUCAAUCGAACGGUUUAAAAAUACCUCUAGAAACACAAAAUCCUUAAACCCACAAACAUCAAAAUACCACCUUUCAAAGUUCAGUUGAACUUUACGCAACCAACACUGCCAAUCGAUCUUAUCUUCUCCAUCUCCUCAAAACAACUUUACGGCAACCAAACUGCUUCAAAGUUUACCACCCUUCAAAGUUCAGUUCAAGUCGAUCUUAUCUUCUCCAUCUCCUCAAAGUUCAGUUCAACAAAUAUCACCCCCCCCCUUCGGUUGCGGUUCGUUCUGGUCGCGAGGGAUGUUAGAGCUUGUUGCCGGCUCUCAGUUCUUCACCUAGGUCGUGCCGGAAACUAGAUUUGCAGUUCAGUUCAACAAAUAUCACCGCCCCCCCUUCAGAUGAAGAUGAUGAGGUUUUGAGGGCCGGCGACCGGAGACGCUGCUCACGGCGGCGGUCUUUAUCUCCGACCGGAGACGCCGCUCACGGUAAACCCUCCUGUUUGUGAUCAAUCACCUGAUACAUCUUGCAAAGUCCCCCUCUGCAGAAAUUUAAAACGAAAGGGCAGCAAGUGAAUAACAAAAAGAAAGAAGCAAGAUGGGAAUUUCUAGUUAGAAAAGUGGAAGCAGCUAAAGCUGUAUCGUCAGAUAUGUAAUUUUAUUUUGUUUAUGCUAGUAGAUUUUAAACAUUUUUUGUAUGUAAAUUUGUAUAAAUUUAUGAUUAAUGUUAUUGAAUUUUUAUA